Molecule: transfer RNA, 86 nt
Filed under: Arthrobotrys conoides
Lineage: Eukaryota; Fungi; Ascomycota; Orbiliomycetes; Orbiliales; Orbiliaceae
Description: tRNA-Cys
Rfam family: tRNA
About the family: Transfer RNA (tRNA) molecules are approximately 80 nucleotides in length. Their secondary structure includes four short double-helical elements and three loops (D, anti-codon, and T loops). Further hydrogen bonds mediate the characteristic L-shaped molecular structure. tRNAs have two regions of fundamental functional importance: the anti-codon, which is responsible for specific mRNA codon recognition, and the 3' end, to which the tRNAs corresponding amino acid is attached (by aminoacyl-tRNA synthetases). tRNAs cope with the degeneracy of the genetic code in two manners: having more than one tRNA (with a specific anti-codon) for a particular amino acid; and 'wobble' base-pairing, i.e. permitting non-standard base-pairing at the 3rd anti-codon position.
Source: RNAcentral
GUCGGCGUAGCUCAGUGGUACGAGCAGAGGAUUGCAGUCUUGCUACUAAUAUCCUAAGGUCACCUGUUCGACCCAGGUCGUCGACU